Long non-coding RNA from Neomonachus schauinslandi (Hawaiian monk seal), 100 nucleotides. RefSeq lists it as uncharacterized. The record is from RefSeq and is a predicted model, not a curated record. The transcript is spliced from 3 exons. Lineage: Eukaryota; Metazoa; Chordata; Mammalia; Carnivora; Phocidae.
GCAGUCGCUUAACCAACUGAGCCACCCAGGAGGAAAAAUCAAGAAUAUCAUCCAACAGGCUGGAUGACACAGGCACGAUUCUCUGGAGACAGAUGCUGAG